UACGGGGGGGGCAAGCGUUGUUCGGAAUUACUGGGCGUAAAGGGCUCGUAGGUGGCCAACUAAGUCAGACGUGAAAUCCCUCGGCUUAACCGGGGAACUGCGUCUGAUACUGGAUGGCUUGAGUUCGGGAGAGGGAUGCGGAAUUCCAGGUGUAGCGGUGAAAUGCGUAGAUAUCUGGAGGAACACCGGUGGCGAAGGCGGCAUCCUGGACCGGACACUGACACUGAGGAGCGAAAGCCAGGGGAGCAA
This 249-nucleotide ribosomal RNA is filed under the name uncultured bacterium. Its description in RNAcentral is "partial 16S ribosomal RNA". It matches the Rfam family "Bacterial small subunit ribosomal RNA", at positions 524 to 771 of the family's 1533-position model. The record is from RNAcentral.